AUUGAACGCUGGCGGCAUGCCUUACACAUGCAAGUCGAACGGUAACGCGCCUUCGGGUGCCGACGAGUGUCGAACGGGUGAGUAAUACAUCGGAACGUGCCCGAUCGUGGGGGAUAACGAGGCAAAAGCUUUGCUAAUACCGCAUACGAUCUACGGAUGAAAGCAGUGGACCGCAAGGCCUUGCGCGGACGGAGCGGCCGAUGGCAGAUUAGGUAGUUGGUGGGAUAAAAGCUUACCAAGCCGACGAUCUGUAGCUGGUCUGAGAGGAUGAUCAGCCACACUGGGACUGAGACACGGCCCAGACUCCUACGGGAGGCAGCAGUGGGGAAUUUUGGACAAUGGGCGCAAGCCUGAUCCAGCAAUGCCGCGUGCAGGAUGAAGGUCUUCGGGUUGUAAACUGCUUUUGUACGGAACGAAAAGCCUUCUUUUAAUACAGGAGGGUCAUGACGGUACCGUAAGAAUAAGCACCGGCUAACUACGUG
RNAcentral lists this ribosomal RNA (482 nucleotides) under uncultured bacterium. RNAcentral describes it as "partial 16S ribosomal RNA". It matches the Rfam family "Bacterial small subunit ribosomal RNA", at positions 30 to 507 of the family's 1533-position model. The record is from RNAcentral.